Molecule: ribosomal RNA, 461 nt
Filed under: uncultured bacterium
Lineage: Bacteria
Description: bacterial SSU rRNA
Rfam family: Bacterial small subunit ribosomal RNA
Source: RNAcentral
GACGAACGCUGGCGGCGUGGAUUAGGCAUGCAAGUCGAACGGUAGGAUACCUUCGGGUAUCUGAGAGUGGCGAACGGGUGAGUAACACGUAGGUGAUCUACCCUCAAGAUUGGGACAACCCAGGGAAACUUGGGCUAAUACCGGAUGAAAGCAGCAGUGAUGUUGUUUGAAAGGUGGCGUAAGCUGCCGUUUGGGGAUGAGCCUGCGCUCUAUUAGUUAGUUGGCGGGGUAAAGGCCCACCAAGGCGAUGAUAGAUAGGCGGCCUUAACGGGUGGUCGCCCACACUGGGAUUGAGAUACGGCCCAGACUCCUACGGGAGGCAGCAGUCGAGAAUAGUCUACAAUGGCCGAAAGGCUGAUAGUGCGACGCCGCGUGAACGAAGAAGCCCUUCGGGUGUAAAGCACUUUUUGAGAGGAUGAGGAAGGACGGUACUCUCAGAAUAAGUCUCGGCUAACUACGUG